RNAcentral lists this ribosomal RNA (253 nucleotides) under uncultured bacterium. RNAcentral describes it as "partial 16S ribosomal RNA". It matches the Rfam family "Bacterial small subunit ribosomal RNA", at positions 524 to 776 of the family's 1533-position model. The record is from RNAcentral.
UACGGAGGGUCCGAGCGUUAAUCGGAAUUACUGGGCGUAAAGCGCAUGCAGGCGGUUUGUUAAGCAAGAUGUGAAAGCCCCGGGCUUAACCUGGGAAAGUCAUUUUGAACUGGCAAGCUAGAGUCUUGUAGAGGGGGGUAGAAUUUCAGGUGUAGCGGUGAAAUGCGUAGAGAUCUGAAGGAAUACCGGUGGCGAAGGCGGCCCCCUGGACAAAGACUGACGCUCAGAUGCGAAAGCGUGGGGAGCAAACAGG